RNAcentral lists this ribosomal RNA (448 nucleotides) under uncultured bacterium. RNAcentral's name for it is "bacterial SSU rRNA". It matches the Rfam family "Bacterial small subunit ribosomal RNA", at positions 331 to 794 of the family's 1533-position model. The record is from RNAcentral.
CCAGACUCCUACGGGAGGCAGCAGUGGGGAAUAUUGGGCAAUGGGCGCAAGCCUGACCCAGCAACGCCGCGUGAAGGAAGAAGGCUUUCGGGUUGUAAACUUCUUUUAAGAGGGAAGAGUAGAAGACGGUACCUCUUGAAUAAGCCACGGCUAACUACGUGCCAGCAGCCGCGGUAAUACGUAGGGAGCGAGCGUUGUCCGGAAUUACUGGGUGUAAAGGGAGCGUAGGCGGGGAUGCAAGUUGGGUGUCAAAACUACCGGCUCAACUGGUAGUCGCACUCAAAACUGCAGCUCUUGAGUGAAGUAGAGGCAGGCGGAAUUCCUAGUGUAGCGGUGAAAUGCGUAGAUAUUAGGAGGAACACCGGCGGCGAAGGCGGCCUGCUGGACCGUGACUGACGUUGAGGCUCGAGAGCGUGGGGAGCAAACAGGAUUAGAUACCCCCGUAAGA